GAUGAACGCUGGCGGCGUGCCUAAUACAUGCAAGUCGAGCGAACAGACGAGGAGCUUGCUCCUCUGACGUUAGCGGCGGACGGGUGAGUAACACGUGGAUAACCUACCUAUAAGACUGGGAUAACUUCGGGAAACCGGAGCUAAUACCGGAUAAUAUAUUGAACCGCAUGGUUCAAUAGUGAAAGACGGUUUUGCUGUCACUUAUAGAUGGAUCCGCGCCGCAUUAGCUAGUUGGUAAGGUAACGGCUUACCAAGGCAACGAUGCGUAGCCGACCUGAGAGGGUGAUCGGCCACACUGGAACUGAGACACGGUCCAGACUCCUACGGGAGGCAGCAGUAGGGAAUCUUCCGCAAUGGGCGAAAGCCUGACGGAGCAACGCCGCGUGAGUGAUGAAGGUCUUCGGAUCGUAAAACUCUGUUACUAGGGAAGAACAAAUGUGUAAGUAACUAUGCGCGUCUUGACGGUACCUAAUCAGAAAGCCACGGCUAACUACGUG
Molecule: ribosomal RNA, 497 nt
Filed under: uncultured bacterium
Lineage: Bacteria
Description: partial 16S ribosomal RNA
Rfam family: Bacterial small subunit ribosomal RNA
Source: RNAcentral